GUAGGAAGAAGGGGGCAGGACACGUCCCAGUCUUGCGCCAACAAAAACCUUUGGCAAUUGGGACGACAGGCUUUCCUCGAAGAAUUUGACUGAGUAAGACGUGAUGUACAAAUCGUUUGAAAGUAACCAACUAAUAAAAACGCGACGAUUAACACUUCGUUCAUGUUUGUGCGAUGGAGUCGUGAAGGACAAGUGACCGACGGCUUUUACAGAAGACUGAAGUUUGCUUUUCAGCCUCAAAGGCGUCUUUACAUAAAUAUCCUUUUCAAAUAACAUUUUAAAGGAAUGGAAACUGCCAUACCGUCCCGAUAUGUACAGUGAAGCAAAGUUGUUGUCGACGUUGAAGUACUCACGGCCUCUAUCUACUGCGUGAGACUACGGAGCAGCUGCCCAGGCCAGUGGAAUCAUGGAAUACCUGGUCCUCACAUUAGUUUUGGUCUCAAUUAUUGUUUUAAUAUUGCUAAACUUGUUGUCUAAAGAUGCUCAUCCAAACUUCACCAGGCUGUUUGGCAGUCAGGGCUACUGUAAACAUCCUUGACUGGAAGCUGGUGUUGGGUCUUGGGGCUUUCAGUCGGAUGUUUGCAGCAGCCACCUGCUAGUACCAUCUGUAGACACUGGACACUUCCGUACCACACUUGAUUCUGGGGAUAACUGGGCAUGUGAAAUGCACACCUACUGCUGUUGGCCUUCAUGUGACCAAACAUGAACAAGGGAUUGAACUGAUAUUGAAUGAAACGGACUGUCGGGACUGAACAAUGUGUCCAAAAACAGUUUCUAUUUGUCAUUUAAAAUCCCGUUGACAAAGUCUGUUAGUUCCAGAAUUGGCCGCUGUUGUUUACUGAUGCUGUGGCGCAGUGCAGGCAGCGAAUGGGACUGACGUAUUUCCGGGUCACGGAUAUACAGUAUUACUAGAUCUCAUUCCAAAAGACAUGCCUCCCUUUCCUGCGUUAAAAAAAAGUGCUUCAAUGUAAAGGACAAUUGACUGUAUCGGACGACACCCAGCCCCUAUUAGACCGUUCUAUCGAGGUUCCACUGUACUUCUAAUUUCUCUUCCAACUGCAAAUGAAUUUUAGCAUGUCAGAGAUGUGCUCAGAUUCAUUUUGCUUGUCAUGUCAGAAGUUUCACUUGUUGCUAGGCAUAACUUUAUGCUUUAUAACUUUAACUUUCCUUCUCCUCACUUCCUUGGGGGACAGGAAUAUUGCCCAACAUGGCAGAGAAAGGACAGACUUUUGUCUAAAUGAAGCGCCUCAACUCACUUCAACAUAGUUCCUUGGCAUCAAGAAGCUGCAAGAUGGCAGCAAAGCAAUACUCUUAUUGCUUUGACCUGAGUUUUUAAGUCAAUACCACUCCACUAAAGAAGAUUAAGUUCCUCCCAAAUAAUAUGUAGGGAUUCACUUUAAUGCAUAACCAGUUGUUUUUUUCACUGUGAGGCCAUCUGGUGGAUCCUGUAUGGCACUGCUGCUUUAUUUUCAAACCAUCAAAGCAAGCAAAAGUGAUAUCGGACCUAAAAUCGCAGACAAACUGGUGCGCAGAGUGAUUACAUGCCGUGACAAUUGUCUGUUCCCAGUGGGAUACAAGAACCCAGCUGAAACAAAAACAGCGGUUAAAGUUUGGGAUAUUUAUUGAUUUCUGCACCCAUUCGUAACACUGUGUGACACAGCACAGGACCACAGACAUGGAAGGAAGUAGGCGUGCCAUUAUUACAAACAACCUUACCUCCACGUCCAUCAUACCGUGCUGUGCUUCUUGCAGGAUUUGUUUAAACUGUUCUCAUCUUUCUUCAAUGGUCAUAGAACCAAGGAAACAGCUCGUUCAGACUACUGCGCACUAUCAGCUAAAACCUUGUUAUUUACGUAUUGCAGAAAAAAGGGAGUAAAUCAGGUAGAACCUCCUGGAUGUUUGUUCCCACAUUUGUUGAUGCAAAUUACAAGUUGACUUCUUACUUAAAAGCAAUGACCUCUGAGUUGCAGAAAGUGUAAACAUCCUACACUCUCGGCGUCCACCCCCUGGUGGCCGGGAGUGGGCCUGUUUGCACUAUCUGUCUCAAUAAUUCAGCUAAAUGUUGGUACGGUGACCGGUCACAUAUUAAACACAUGCUGUAUGUUAGAUGUAACUUCAUACUUUGUUUAUUCAGUGAAUAUAAUUUUAAGGCUAGGUUGACAAAUUGUGCUUUGUUUUACAUAAAUUGAGUAUUGAUUAAAACAAUUCUGAGAUUAAUAUCAGACUCAAUUUGUUUAUUAGUCUCCCCCACUAUUAAAUAUAUCACAGUUGUCUUUUGUGGGAUUUUACAUGCAUGAAAAUACACUUUAGUUGUUGCUUUUUAUCACUUCAAAUGUGGAAAAAGUACAAACAGUUGUUUAUAUGAUUUGUUGAGUUUUGUAUUCAAAAUAAAAUGGUUUGCAAUA
This is a long non-coding RNA of Phyllopteryx taeniolatus (common seadragon), 2405 nucleotides long. RefSeq lists it as uncharacterized. The transcript has 2 exons. The record is from RefSeq and is a predicted model, not a curated record. NCBI's taxonomy places the organism in Eukaryota, Metazoa, Chordata, Actinopteri, Syngnathiformes, Syngnathidae.